UCUAGAACCCGAGAUAUGGAUUGAACACUGAACAGUGUCUAGGUUGCAGGACAGAUUCAGACUUCUCUUUUGAUGCUAAGAUUUGAACUUCAAAACGGUAGAAUUGAGUCUUAGACCAGCAUCUCUUUUAUAAGCUUGGCCCUUUCUUUG
Non-coding RNA from Populus trichocarpa (black cottonwood), 150 nucleotides. The record is from Rfam. Lineage: Eukaryota; Viridiplantae; Streptophyta; Magnoliopsida; Malpighiales; Salicaceae.